This is a long non-coding RNA of Syngnathus acus (greater pipefish), 769 nucleotides long. RefSeq lists it as uncharacterized. The record is from RefSeq and is a predicted model, not a curated record. Lineage: Eukaryota; Metazoa; Chordata; Actinopteri; Syngnathiformes; Syngnathidae. The transcript is spliced from 3 exons.
UUGAACUUUUUUUAAUCAUCUAAUAUCUGAUGUGCACAUACACAAUACUAAAUUCAGAAAUCAAUUAUUGAAACUUUGAUAUUUUUCUCUUUUAUAUAAUUGUCAGCUACCAACAGCCCAGGUAACUUAUCUGUCUAUUUUUACAGACGUGGUUUGAAGGUUUUUUUUCUAAACUGAUGCCUGAUGAACACAUAACGUAACAUUCAGAAAUGAGUAUUUUCUUUUCUUCUAUAUAAGUUUCAGGUACCAACAGACCAGGUAACCUCUCACACUUGCUGUGUAUUUUACAGCAAUGGUUUGAACUUUUUAUAAUCAUCUAAUAUCUGCUAGUAUCUGAUGUACAAAUAACGUAAAACUGCACAGUCAGAAAUAACUAAAAUACUGUACAUUUUGUGCUGUGCUUUCAAAAAUCGAUAAUGGAAAUGUUUUAAUUCUUCUAUAGAAUUAACUACCAUCAGCACAGGUAACUUCUCACACUGUAUAUUUUACAGCAGUAGUUUGAACGUUUUUGAAUCAUCUGAUAUCUGAUGUACAGAUAACGUAAAAUUGUACAUCCGGAAACUAACUAAUAAUUAAAAUAAUUAUGGGGGGGUUUUUUUCGAUUUUCAGCUACCAUCAGCACAGCUACCAACAGCCCAGCUACCAACAGCGCAGGUAACAUAUCACAUCUACUGUCUAUUUUGAAGGUUUUUUUUUCUCACCUAAUGCCUGAUGUACACAUAACGUAGUACUCCAUUCAGAAAUGAACUACUAAUCGUAAGAACAAUCA